This is a non-coding RNA of Podarcis lilfordi (Lilford's wall lizard), 120 nucleotides long. The record is from the annotation of a GenBank genome assembly. NCBI's taxonomy places the organism in Eukaryota, Metazoa, Chordata, Lepidosauria, Squamata, Lacertidae.
GCUCCUGACACAUACUACCCUUAACAUGCUCAAUCUUGUCUGAUCUCAGAAGCUAAGCAGGGUCAGGCCUAGUUAGUACUUGGAUGGGAGACCACUGAGGAAUACUGGAUGCCGUAGGCU